UACGUAGGCAGCGAGCGUUGUUCGGAGUUACUGGGCGUAAAGCGUGUGUAGGCGGAUCGUUAAGUGCCUUGUGAAAUCCCACGGCUUAACCGUGGAACUGCUUGGCAUACUGGCGGUCUUGAGCCACUUAGGGGCUACCGGAACAAAUGGUGGAGCGGUGAAAUGCGUAGAUAUCAUUUGGAACGCCAAUGGUGAAAACAGGUAGCUGGGAGUGUGCUGACGCUGAGACACGAAAGCCAGGGGAGCGAACGGG
This 253-nucleotide ribosomal RNA is filed under the name uncultured bacterium. RNAcentral describes it as "partial 16S ribosomal RNA". It matches the Rfam family "Bacterial small subunit ribosomal RNA", at positions 524 to 776 of the family's 1533-position model. The record is from RNAcentral.